GACGAACGCUGGCGGCGUGCUUAACACAUGCAAGUCGAACGGAAAGGCCCUGCUUUUGUGGGGUGCUCGAGUGGCGAACGGGUGAGUAACACGUGAGUAACCUGCCCUUGACUUUGGGAUAACUUCAGGAAACUGGGGCUAAUACCGGAUAGGAGCUCCUGCUGCAUGGUGGGGGUUGGAAAGUUUCGGCGGUUGGGGAUGGACUCGCGGCUUAUCAGCUUGUUGGUGGGGUAGUGGCUGACCAAGGCUUUGACGGGUAGCCGGCCUGAGAGGGUGACCGGCCAGAUUGGGAGUGAGAGACGGCCCAGACUCCUACGGGAGGCAGGAGUGGGGAAUAUUGAACAAUGGGCGGAAGCCUGAUGCAGCAAGCACGCGUGCGGGAUGGCGGACUUCGGGAUGUAAGCCGCUUUCGCCUGUGACGAAGCGUAAGUGAAGGUAAUGGGUAAAGAAGCACCGGCAAACUACGG
RNAcentral lists this ribosomal RNA (467 nucleotides) under uncultured bacterium. RNAcentral's name for it is "partial 16S ribosomal RNA". It matches the Rfam family "Bacterial small subunit ribosomal RNA", at positions 28 to 506 of the family's 1533-position model. The record is from RNAcentral.